AUUGGGUAGGGGAGCGUUGUGUAAGCGGAUGAAGGUGAGUUGAGAAGCUUGCUGGACGUAUCACAAGUGCGAAUGCUGACAUGAGUAACGAUAAUGGGGGUGAAAAACCCCCACGCCGGAAGACCAAGGUUUCCUGUCCCAUGCUAAUCAGGGCAGGGUAAGUCGGCCCCUAAGGCGAGGCAGAAAUGCGUAGUCGAUGGGAAACGGGUUAAUAUUCCCGUACUUGUAUAUUCAGUGAUGGAGGGACGGAGAAGGCUAAGCAAGCUUGGCGUUGGUAGUCCAAGUGAAAGUGAGUAGGAAGUGAGAUUAGGUAAAUCCGGUUUCACAAUUCCGAGACACGAGACGAUGCACCACGGUGCAGAAGUUGUUGAUGCCCUGCUUCCAGGAAAAGCUUCUAAACUUAUGAAUAUAUGAACCGUACCCCAAACCGACACAGGUGGUCAGGUAGAGAAUACUAAGGCGCUUGAGAGAACUCGGGUGAAGGAACUCGGCAAAAUUGUACCGUAACUUCGGGAGAAGGUACGCCCCUGUUUGUGAAGGCUUCGCGCCGUAAGCAGAUGGGGGCCGCAGUGACCAGGUGGCUGGGACUGUUUAUUAAAAACACAGCACUCUGCAAACACGAAAGUGGACGUAUAGGGUGUGACACCUGCCCGGUGCCGGAAGGUUAAUUGAUGGGGUUAGCUUAGGCGAAGCUCUUGAUCGAAGCCCCGGUAAACGGCGGCCGUAACUAUAACGGUCCUAAGGUAGCGAAAUUCCUUGUCGGGUAAGUUCCGACCUGCACGAAUGGUGUAACCAUGGCCACGCUGUCUCCACCCGAGACUCAGUGAAAUUGAAAUCGCAGUGAAGAUGCUGUGUACCCGCACCUAGACGGAAAGACCCCGUGAACCUUUACUACAGCUUGGCACUGAACAUUGAACCUACAUGUGUAGGAUAGGUGGGAGGCUUCGAAGCAUUGUCGCCAGAUGAUGUGGAGCCGUCCUUGAAAUACCACCCUUGUAUGUUUGAUGUUCUAACGUCGGUCCCUUAUCGGGAUUACGGACAGUGUCUGGUGGGUAGUUUGACUGGGGCGGUCUCCUCCCAAAUAGUAACGGAGGAGCACGAAGGUUAGCUAAUCACGGUCGGACAUCGUGAGGUUAGUGCAAUGGCAUAAGCUAGCUUAACUGCGAGACAGACACGUCGAGCAGGUACGAAAGUAGGUCAUAGUGAUCCGGUGGUUCUGUAUGGAAGGGCCAUCGCUCAACGGAUAAAAGGUACUCCGGGGAUAACAGGCUGAUACCGCCCAAGAGUUCAUAUCGACGGCGGUGUUUGGCACCUCGAUGUCGGCUCAUCACAUCCUGGGGCUGAAGUCGGUCCCAAGGGUAUGGCUGUUCGCCAUUUAAAGUGGUACGCGAGCUGGGUUUAGAACGUCGUGAGACAGUUCGGUCCCUAUCUGGUGUGGGCGUUGGAUGAUUGAGGGGAGCUGCUCCUAGUACGAGAGGACCGGAGUGGACGAACCGCUGGUGUUCGGGUUGUUUUGCCAAAGGCAUUGCCCGGUAGCUACGUUCGGAACGGAUAACCGCUGAAAGCAUCUAAGCGGGAAGCCGGCCCCAAGAUGAGUCAUCCCUGGACGUAAGUCCUGGAAGGGUUGUUAAAGACGAUGACGUUGAUAGGCAGGGUGUGGAAGCGUUG
This 1668-nucleotide ribosomal RNA is filed under the name Alteromonas sp. ASW11-130. Its description in RNAcentral is "partial 23S ribosomal RNA". It matches the Rfam family "Bacterial large subunit ribosomal RNA", at positions 1223 to 2878 of the family's 2925-position model. Lineage: Bacteria; Pseudomonadati; Pseudomonadota; Gammaproteobacteria; Alteromonadales; Alteromonadaceae. The record is from RNAcentral.